Molecule: non-coding RNA, 24 nt
Filed under: Cricetulus griseus (Chinese hamster)
Lineage: Eukaryota; Metazoa; Chordata; Mammalia; Rodentia; Cricetidae
Source: RNAcentral
UAAAACUUGAACAUGUAUAGACUG